RNAcentral lists this transfer RNA (71 nucleotides) under Marmota monax (woodchuck). RNAcentral's name for it is "tRNA.Ala". It matches the Rfam family "tRNA". Rfam says of the family: Transfer RNA (tRNA) molecules are approximately 80 nucleotides in length. Their secondary structure includes four short double-helical elements and three loops (D, anti-codon, and T loops). Lineage: Eukaryota; Metazoa; Chordata; Mammalia; Rodentia; Sciuridae. The record is from RNAcentral.
GGGGCUGUGGCUCAGUGGUAGAGCGCUUGCCUAGCAUGUAUGAGGCACUGGGUUUGAUCCUCAGCACCACA